CCUACGGGAGGCAGCAGUGAGGUAUAUUGGUCAAUGGACGAGAGUCUGAACCAGCCAAGUAGCGUGAAGGAUGACUGCCCUAUGGGUUGUAAACUUCUUUUAUAAAGGAAUAAAACGAGGCACGUGUGCCUUUUUGCAUGUACUUUAUGAAUAAGGAUCGGCUAACUCCGUGCCAGCAGCCGCGGUAAUACGGAGGAUCCGAGCGUUAUCCGGAUUUAGUGGGUUUAAAGGGAGCGUAGAUGGGUUGUUAAGUCAGUUGUGAAAGUUUGCGGCUCAACCGUAAAAGUGCAAUUGAUACUGGCAGUCUUGAGUACAGUUGAGGUAGGCGGAAUUCGUGGUGUAGCGGUGAAAUGCUUAGAUAUCACGAAGAACCCCGAUUGCGAAGGCAGCUUACUAAACUGUGACUGACAUUGAUGCUCGAAAGUGUGGGUAUCAAACAGGAUUAGAUACCCUUGUAGUC
Molecule: ribosomal RNA, 460 nt
Filed under: uncultured bacterium
Lineage: Bacteria
Description: partial 16S ribosomal RNA
Rfam family: Bacterial small subunit ribosomal RNA
Source: RNAcentral